Cygnus olor (mute swan) is the source of this 2177-nucleotide long non-coding RNA. RefSeq lists it as uncharacterized. The transcript has 2 exons. NCBI's taxonomy places the organism in Eukaryota, Metazoa, Chordata, Aves, Anseriformes, Anatidae. The record is from RefSeq and is a predicted model, not a curated record.
GCAGUGCUGCUCCAAGGGAGCUGCAGUUUGCCUGCCCUAAGUCUCCAUCUCUUCUGAGGUCCAGUGUCCCUACUGGGACUGCCUCUCCACCACGAUGCCCCAUGGCCAGGGAGCCCUGGGAUGCUCCUCCACAGGGUCCUGCCAACUGAAGAGCAGGAAUAUAAGGCAGAAUGUUAUUUCUGUAUGGAGACAUAGUGUUUUAGCUGAAAACCUGGGUUUUCUGUUGUUUUGCUUUGCCUAUUGCAUUCUCACUAAAGUUUUUUCUUGUUCUUUUUGAACUCUUUUUUACAGGGAGAUUUAAAAAAAAAAAAAAAAGCUCUGCUUUUAGACUAGCCGUCAAACCCUUUUUGAUGGCCAUAAAUAUAUCAACACAGCCUGCUGGUACGAACUGAUAACUAUUCUUAGUCAUGCAGUAUGGGUUUACUGAACAUUAAGAAACCCUCAUGACCAAGCACUUUUCCUCCUGCUUUACCAAAACCAAUCUUUUAUUUUCAGAGUAUAGGGGGUUAGUAUAAUAAAGCACCAAAUAAGUAAAUGCUAGCCUCAAAAUACACAGUGUUGAAGUCAGCAAUCCUGCAAAACCAGUUAGCUCACCAUCUAGGAAAGCUGCCAAAAUAGUGCAUCAUACCCAGCUCUCAUAUAUCAGACCAAGCAAAUCCGAGCAAGUUACAAACGUGCUAGAGCUCUUCUGUCAGUUUGGUGAGAUUACCUUCACCAACCAAAGGACAUAAAAGCUGAAGAAAGAAGUGAAGCACAGACUGUCCUGCAGAGAUGAACACGAUGCCCAACAGCCAGGGAAUUGAACAAAGCCUGGCUGUGCAGACAGGACGAAGAACAGCUCGCUGAUAACAAGAACAAUUCAGAAGGAACCACCCCAGCAGCUUGAUCUGUCCCAUCCCUCGGAAACAGAGUACAGAGGAACCUUAACUUCUUCCUUGGACAUCUCCUUUGGCUGCUGCUGGAGCCAGGACAGUAGGCUAGCAGCACCCUGGGCUGGACAGGGACAAGCCUCUAUGGGAAGCAAGCAUUUCACAAGUCCCUGUAAGCCUGGCCUGUACCACUCUUUCUUCCUCCACCCAGCUUUUGGAAGAACUACCUUGGACUUUUGGAACCAGGUUGAAGGCCUCAAUUGCCUUUGCUGUGCAUAAACCUUCCCCACUAAACACCACACCACUGGCAGGCUCUUUCCUCCCUCCUUCCUCAGGAUACCUCUCCAAAGUCCCAAGUGACCAUGGAGGACAAAAAUCUCUCACCCUCAGAGGUUUUGCUUUUGAAACUUUCUGUCUGAGAAGAAGUUAAUGAAUAUGACUGCUUUUUCCAUGCUGAUAAAUAACAGCAACUUGAAUCCCACUGGCUUCCAAUGCAAUCCAUGUUCUUGUGACUCUCUGGGUUUUAAAGACGAGAAGGAAAUUUCCUGGCACUAAAGGGCAAGCCCCAAUCUCAGCACACUUCCAUUGAUGUUCCCUGCGUGUCUGCUCCUCAUGGGGCUGCUCAGCUCCACGGGGUUGCUCUGUUCACUUCCUUUGAGAAAAACACCUUCCUGUGUGCAAUACGUCAUGAAAGGCAGAUUUAUCUCUCCUCUGACACAGCCACACUCCGGUGUCCCUGUUUCAGCUCUUCAAGCACUGUAAUUUAUGUGAUUCUCACCCGUCACCCCAGCAACAUCCAGGACAACACACAGGGAACCUAAGUUCAACCUACAGACAGCGGUGGUACGACUGCACCCAGCAGGAUGCUGCUUUGUCUUUCAAGCUACGUGUAACAGUAUGCUUUCUGCUGGAUAGAUGACUCCUUCCCAUACUUUCUUGUAUAUUUGAGAAGAUAUUUCCUGGUAUAAAGGGUAUUGAUACUAAGCCUGUGUUACAGGGGUGGGCUGCCUGAAGUGUGCUGCAUUAAUUAAAACAGUAUAAUUUCUGCUUGUAAUUAAUCCCUAAUAGGUUUUGAAGAUUGGCUCGUUCAUUCAUCCUGGGACAUGGUAAAUGGGAAAUUUCUUGAUAAAGGAGCACUGGGCCCAAGGGGCAGAGAGAUCAACACCAAGGUGUGCAGAGGCUGACUGCACGGCUGGAAAGGCAGGAGGAGAGAGGCUGUGCAAUGGCCAGAGAGUCUUGGUCAUGGUGCCUUCCAACAGGCACCAUGUAGAUUCCCCUCCUUUUGUACUCUCUGCAAAUAAAGAGGAA